GGAUGUUAUCAUAGUAUCACUAAUGCAUUUGAUUCCACCAGAACUCCAAAUCUAAGCAUUCUUUAGCAAGAGCAGAAUAUGACUGGUGACCCCUUGAGAAAUUAUGUGCUGCAUCUU
Solanum tuberosum (potato) is the source of this 117-nucleotide non-coding RNA. The record is from Rfam. Lineage: Eukaryota; Viridiplantae; Streptophyta; Magnoliopsida; Solanales; Solanaceae.